GGGGUCCUGGACCUGCCAGCACCAUGGCACAGCCACUCCUCUGUUCCUGUGACUUUGGGGCAAAGAGCAACUGGCUAUUUCUACGCUCAGUGUUCGGAGACCAGUGAGCACUAAGAAUGGUGUAUAGCCUGACAUUU
Molecule: small nucleolar RNA, 137 nt
Organism: Chinchilla lanigera (long-tailed chinchilla)
Lineage: Eukaryota; Metazoa; Chordata; Mammalia; Rodentia; Chinchillidae
Source: Ensembl